CCUGGCAAAAUACUAUUGUCUGGAAGUGGGUGAUUCCUGACUCGGGCUGGUGCUAGAUUACCUAAAUCUGUUGGGGGUGGAUAUGACUGAAUAAUGUUAUUGUUCUAAAUCACAUGGUAGUUAGCUAGCACUUUCGGGAAUAGAAAACAAUUGAAUCAAUGAUCACUCAUUUGUCAAAUGUGGACAUUCUUGUCUCUUUGGCCUAACUUUAGCUAGCCGAUUAUUUAUUAGCUAGUCUUUUUGGUUUAGCCCAGUAUUGGACUAAAGGACCUUACAUGUUCUGUUUAAAGGGCGAAUUGGCCCUGGAAGCCAAAUAUUCCAUCUAAACAUGAUUCGGUUCUCAUUUGCGGUGUUCGGAGAUGCAGAUGGCUUAGUUAGAACAGGUCGUCCACUGUCUUCCCCGUUUCCAUAAACAAGCGCUGUAACAUGGAAAUAUGGCCGUGUGGGAACUCUAACCCUAUAAAGGAACAGAUGUCAGGAGAGAUCGUGGUGAGCUCGGCAGUGCCGGCGGCUACAACCCGACCACCUCCUUCAAGUGCUCCAGUCCCAGCUCCAAGUAUGUGAAGCUGAACGUGGGCGGGGCGCUCUACUACACCACCAUGCAGACCCUCACCAAGCAGGACACCAUGCUCAAGGCCAUGUUCAGCGGCGGGAUCGAGGUCCUCACAGACAGUGAAGAACAAAGAGUCGUACGAGCCGUUCUGUAAACUUCCCCUGGUGACAUCAUCGAAGGAAGAACAGAGACUCAUUGCCACCUCUAGUAAGGCUACUGUCAAACUGUUAUACAACAGAAGCAACAAUAAAUACUCAUACACCA
Non-coding RNA from Salmo salar (Atlantic salmon), 817 nucleotides. The record is from RefSeq and is a predicted model, not a curated record. Lineage: Eukaryota; Metazoa; Chordata; Actinopteri; Salmoniformes; Salmonidae.